This 304-nucleotide ribosomal RNA is filed under the name uncultured bacterium. RNAcentral describes it as "bacterial SSU rRNA". It matches the Rfam family "Bacterial small subunit ribosomal RNA", at positions 29 to 334 of the family's 1533-position model. The record is from RNAcentral.
AACGAACGCUGGCGGCAGGCCUUAUACAUGCAAGUCGAACGAGAUUGUUACUUCGGUAACAUGAGAGUGGCGCACGGGUGAGUAACGCGUAGAGAUCUACCAAGCAGUGGGGGACAACUAUUGGAAACGAUAGCUAAAACCGCAUACGCCCUUAGGGGGAAAGAGGGGGACGCUUCGGCACCUUUCGCGAUUGGAUAAGCCUAAGUGAGAUUAGCUAGUUGGUGGGGUAAAGGCUCACCAAGGCGACGAUCUCUAGCUGGUUUGAGAGGAUGAUCAGCCACACUGGAACUGAGACACGGUCCAG